RNAcentral lists this ribosomal RNA (464 nucleotides) under Vreelandella stevensii. RNAcentral describes it as "partial 16S ribosomal RNA". It matches the Rfam family "Bacterial small subunit ribosomal RNA", at positions 339 to 795 of the family's 1533-position model. The record is from RNAcentral. Lineage: Bacteria; Pseudomonadati; Pseudomonadota; Gammaproteobacteria; Oceanospirillales; Halomonadaceae.
CUACGGGGGGCAGCAGUGGGGAAUAUUGGACAAUGGGCGAAAGCCUGAUCCAGCCAUGCCGCGUGUGUGAAGAAGGGCUUCGGGUUGUAAAGCACUUUCAGUGGGGAAGAAAGCCUUGGGGCUAAUACCCUCGAGGAAGGACAUCACCCACAGAAGAAGCACCGGCUAACUCCGUGCCAGCAGCCGCGGUAAUACGGAGGGUGCGAGCGUUAAUCGGAAUUACUGGGCGUAAAGCGCGCGUAGGCGGUCUGAUAAGCCGGUUGUGAAAGCCCCGGGCUCAACCUGGGAACGGCAUCCGGAACUGUCAGGCUAGAGUGCAGGAGAGGAAGGUAGAAUUCCCGGUGUAGCGGUGAAAUGCGUAGAGAUCGGGAGGAAUACCAGUGGCGAAGGCGGCCUUCUGGACUGACACUGACGCUGAGGUGCGAAAGCGUGGGUAGCAAACAGGAUUAGAUACCCCUGUAGUC